UAGCUCAGUUGGUAGAGCAGUUGACUUUUAAUCAAUUGGUCGCAGGUUCGAAUCCUGCACGACCCACCAAUGCUUAGGUGAGCAGUGGUAGUAAGCGUAAAGGAUAACGUUGCGUCAGCAACGGCCCGUAGGGCGAGCGAAAGCGAGUCAUCCUGCACGACCCACCA
This 167-nucleotide small RNA is filed under the name Klebsiella michiganensis. RNAcentral describes it as "RtT sRNA". The stretch from base 1 to 66 matches the Rfam family "tRNA". RNAcentral also lists the same sequence under 1 other name. Lineage: Bacteria; Pseudomonadati; Pseudomonadota; Gammaproteobacteria; Enterobacterales; Enterobacteriaceae. The record is from RNAcentral.